UCCAGGUUAGCUCAAUAUUAUUA
RNAcentral lists this non-coding RNA (23 nucleotides) under Arabidopsis thaliana (thale cress). Lineage: Eukaryota; Viridiplantae; Streptophyta; Magnoliopsida; Brassicales; Brassicaceae. The record is from RNAcentral.